CCUACGGGUGGCUGCAGUGGGGAAUAUUGGACAAUGGGCGAAAGCCUGAUCCAGCCAUGCCGCGUGUGUGAAGAAGGCCUUCGGGUUGUAAAGCACUUUCAGUGGGGAAGAAAGCCUUGGGGCUAAUACCCUCGAGGAAGGACAUCACCCACAGAAGAAGCACCGGCUAACUCCGUGCCAGCAGCCGCGGUAAUACGGAGGGUGCGAGCGUUAAUCGGAAUUACUGGGCGUAAAGCGCGCGUAGGCGGUCUGAUAAGCCGGUUGUGAAAGCCCCGGGCUCAACCUGGGAACGGCAUCCGGAACUGUCGGGCUAGAGUGCAGGAGAGGAAGGUAGAAUUCCCGGUGUAGCGGUGAAAUGCGUAGAGAUCGGGAGGAAUACCAGUGGCGAAGGCGGCCUUCUGGACUGACACUGACGCUGAGGUGCGAAAGCGUGGGUAGCAAACAGGAUUAGAUACCCGGGUAGUC
Molecule: ribosomal RNA, 465 nt
Filed under: Vreelandella stevensii
Lineage: Bacteria; Pseudomonadati; Pseudomonadota; Gammaproteobacteria; Oceanospirillales; Halomonadaceae
Description: partial 16S ribosomal RNA
Rfam family: Bacterial small subunit ribosomal RNA
Source: RNAcentral